CGGGGACGAAGUAGCCGUCGUAGUUCAGAGUGCCCAACCCAAAGACUUUAUGUUGGGCUCGAAUUUGCUCUUUCUGGAGGCUUGAGUUGGAAAACAUCAAUUGCAGCAGUGGAUCAGUGCUUACCUGAAACAAAUAUUUUUCUGCAUCCGAACAGGAUAAAUGCUAAAAGAUGGAGAGAUGGAUGAGGUAGACCAGGCAGUAGGCAGAAGACCAUAGAGCUCCAGGGAUCAGACUGUGGCUGUAAUGUCAUGUUUCUUUAAGUUUACAAUUCCACCUCUGGGUUAAACAGGUAAACUAAGCCCUUGU
Molecule: long non-coding RNA, 307 nt
Organism: Stylophora pistillata
Lineage: Eukaryota; Metazoa; Cnidaria; Anthozoa; Scleractinia; Pocilloporidae
Source: RefSeq, a predicted model, not a curated record